This 280-nucleotide long non-coding RNA is filed under the name Carica papaya (papaya). RNAcentral describes it as "long non-coding RNA (CPAP_LNC007811)". Lineage: Eukaryota; Viridiplantae; Streptophyta; Magnoliopsida; Brassicales; Caricaceae. The record is from RNAcentral.
AGUAAGGAUUCCUCACUCUAUUUCCUAUCACGGUAUUAAAGUGCAAUAAAUGAUAAAAUGGUAUUUCAUGAAUCAAUAGCUGUGUGAAAUUGUUUAAGGUUGCUAAUGGAGCCCGAGUCUAGUGUAUUUGUCGGUCAGUUAUUGUUUGUUCUAUUUUACAGUUUUAAAUGCAGUAUGAUGUCUGAUAUUUUUAUUUCAUAGUUUCGUGUGCAUGUAUCACUGUUUCAUUGAUUAUGGACUGAAUGACUGAUAACCCGAUGUUGUGUGUUGUUUUGCUGGC